This 71-nucleotide transfer RNA is filed under the name Loxodonta africana (African savanna elephant). It matches the Rfam family "tRNA". Rfam says of the family: Transfer RNA (tRNA) molecules are approximately 80 nucleotides in length. Lineage: Eukaryota; Metazoa; Chordata; Mammalia; Proboscidea; Elephantidae. The record is from Rfam by way of RNAcentral.
GCAGUGGUGGUUAAGUGGUAGAAUUCUCACCUUUCAUGUGGGAGACCCAGGUUCAACUGCUGACCAAUUCA